Long non-coding RNA from Manis javanica (Malayan pangolin), 5279 nucleotides. RefSeq lists it as uncharacterized. NCBI's taxonomy places the organism in Eukaryota, Metazoa, Chordata, Mammalia, Pholidota, Manidae. The record is from RefSeq and is a predicted model, not a curated record.
CUGGCUCGUUUAUUGACGUUAACUUGGUGCCAAACACCAGGCCGGUAGUGAGGGAAAUAGAGAAGGUUCCCGGCCUCAGGAAAGCUAGAAAGUUGCCCACAAUUACAAAAUAGUGUAACAAGAGUUCUGAUGAGGAAAAUGAGGGCACGAAUCCCUUCUCGCGGGCGUCCCGGAAGCUCCAGGAGGAUCCCUCUUUCACACAGCAGAGCUUCUGGACAGUAGAGCUGAGGAAGGAAUGUCUACCUGCUUCCACACAUCAGGUUGCAGGGUCUCCCCAGAGACAGAACCCAAUGGACAGAGAAACAAAGCUCCUGAUGGAAAUCACAGUAUGAUAAGUUUCUAGAUUAGACAUCAAGGAAAGACUGCGGUCGAACCUCAAUGAGGAAGGACCUUACCAGGUACUGGUAACAACUAACACAGCAGUAAACCCAUGCCUCCCAAGUUAAAAGACGUUGGCGUCACAUGAAAUCACUGGAAGGCUGUCCUGAGACCUCCAACAGAGGGAUCAGAGGAAUCAUUCCAAAACAGAUGACUACAGGAAGUGGCACCUGCUACCCAACACUAUCAGGACCAUGCUAGCCACUGCAAGAAGUGCCACCUUCCCCCAAGAAUGUCCCCAACCAGACAAGGCCACCGGAGCCACAGAGGGCCAGGCUUCAACCUGCAUCUGCUUGUGCUCUUUUUCUUUGUUCUUUCCUCUCUGCAAAGUUAAUGUUUAAAUUGUUGACAAUUCUUUUCUAUUUCUAUGAUACCUCUAAGGUUUUUAUCUUUAAUGCUGUUUUUUUUUUAACCUUAGUCAUUCCUUGGUAUGAGUCCAACAUCAGGUGGCCAUUUGCUCAUAAUUCGGCUACAACAUUCAAUUAUUCCGUCUGCUGGGUUUGCACUUACUUUCCUCUGGGUGCUGCCGCCCAACUUCCUUUGCUACCAAUUUCAUGGAAUUAAUCAGCUGAUUUCCUAGGUGAUAAGACUCAACCAAGAAGUGAUGUGGUGAUGAAAAAUAGCUUAAUGGGCCAAAUAACCAGAAUUCUAAAACCCCCUAUCAAGUGAUCUACAGAAAGGAAGGUGUGGAUCCUAAACAAAACAAUGCUCAGAAACCUUUUGGUUGGAAAUUUGAUGGAGGGGACAGGAGUGACAAGGAGGUGUUUUGAGAAAAUAAAACACAGAUGAAAGGAGACCGUAACGGUUCAGUGAGGGAAGAUGGGCCCCAUAGGGAACUCGAGCAAAGAGGUGACAGAGAUAUAUGUACCUCUGGAGAGUCCACAGAGGAGAUGGAAGCCAGUGUUAUGGAGUCCAUAAACGGUCUGGAACUUGGGCCUCUGGAGAAUCCAGUGAUAAGUGGAAACCAGAGGUACAAGGGCUAGUUAUGGCCCUUCUGAGGUCAACAAGAGGCUGAAGGCAGAGGCCAAGUGCACCCGCUCCAAGGAGCAGUGGGAGCAGGGACUGGAGGCAGCAUCUCCCGCAGGCUCCCCAGACAGCAGAAUGCCAGCUUCCGUGGCCCCUACAUCACACAGAGCACAGCAGGGAUCUUGACUGAAAGGCUAUCAGGAAUUGUCUGUGGGAGAGCUUGUCCGAGCGGCCACAGAAGACAAGGGGAAUAAGCUAAACUCAAGAGAGCUGGGAUGAGGGCCUGCAGAGCAGGAAACACUAUAUUCCCCAGCAUCCCAGACCUCACAGCCUUGUCAUACUCCUCACACCAAGGUGUCAUUCACAUGCCCUUCCCCACUGGUUUCCCCUGCAGGCCAGGCCCUGAGGCUGCAUCAGCCAUCCUGGGAAGAGGGAUAUCGCAGGGAGGGGAGAGAGACUAAUCUGUUCUCCAGGAAAGCCCAUCCUGUGUGCUACCUCAGAUUCUUUCAGGCAGCUUCUCCGAUCUGAGAAUCCAAAAGCAUGGGUUCUUGUGAAGGGAGGAGCAAAGUGAUGCGUUAGGAGGCUGAGGGGAAUGACCCUUUGGGGGACACUGAGGCUCUAAAGUCAACAGAUUUGGUCUUCAAGAUAAAAGAGUCCGUGACAAUAAUAGUAAGGCCUUUCUCAGACAUUAUCUCCUGUGAUCCUCACAGCAACCCUGCGAGGUCUGGAACUGUGGAGGAUUAAGCCUUGAGGCAGGUAAACAGCCCGUCGAGGGUCAGGGCCGGAGGGUCUGCCUCCAACGCCAGCAGUGGUCCCAGCAGACCUCACGCUGCCACCAGUGGGUGAGACCCAUGCCCAGCUCCACCAUCCUUCUAUUCAGGUGGUUGGGCAGAACAGGGACUCUGAGCCCCUGCUGAGGGCUCUGUCUUCUAAUAGGAAUCAGUUGAUAUUCUGAGAUUGUGGACCUGGAUCCUCAUGGAAAGGUGAGAUUAAGAUUAAAUUUUGGGUAGUCAAGUGUUGACUAGACAAAACCUUGCCUUUUAACCUACACCUUUGUUCCUCUUUUUGACUCUGCACUGAUCUUAAGAGACGAGGAGAGAGAGUAGCUAGGACUGAAUUUUCACUCUCCCUCUAGGCAAGCUGCAGACACCCACAAUGCACGGUUAGUCUGAUUUUCUAUAUUGAAUUAAUAGAGCUCUAUGAUCCAUCCCUGUUAUUCACUUUAAAGGGGAUAAAAAUAUUGUCCAUUUUUCCUUUGAAAAUUUCAAGAAGGGUUUUCUGUAUGUCAUGUUCAAUUGAUUUUUUUCAGUCCCUGUCCUCUCCAGAUGGACACAGAUUCCCAGAACUGCAGGCAUAUGUGUACUCCACACAGGACUUGACGCUAAUGACAGAACUUCGGUCCCAGCAUCUGAUCUGAGGCUUUCAGAGGCUCAGAACAUUGUUCUUGCCAGCAGCCCCAGCACAAAAGAUAGCCAUGGCCCAGAGACACCUGACUUGGGAUGGUGUCCUCCUGCAGGUAUCCUGAACUCUCUCAAUAAUCCAGUCCAUGGCCAGUGACUCACUGUGGUAAGGGUUCUGUCCAGAGCCCUCUACCAUGCCUAGAGGACCUGUGAACUUCAAAUAUAAACCUUAUCACACUAGUUCCCUCUCCUACCACUGCCCUGUUCCCCUCAGUGACAUUCUAAUCUUUCCUGCACGUUUCCAUCUCAGGUGGCUCACUGUGUCAACAUGAUUCUUUUUAGAAAAGUAGUAAGAGAAAGAUGAAAAAGUUCUUACCUGCUGGGGGCUGAUCUUAAUGUUCCUUUGCCAAACUGAUAGGGCUGUUUUUCCUAAAUGUUGGUAAAUUUUAAUUCCUUUAUAAAUAGUAGAAGAAUGGAAAAAGGAACCCCAUAAAACAUAGAAUAUGUAAAAUGGAACUAGUGCUCCAAGAUUCACUGAGAGGCAUCUGAUAGAGUUUUUGUGACAGGCAGCAUCAGACAACUGAUGGUUGUAAUGUGCGCUGUGGACCAGAGUUCUGGGCCCCCCUCACGGAGCUGGGGAUCAGUGACAGUAUUCUUGAGGGUAAGAGAGGACUGAUAAGAGGAAGGUGAGCCCAUAAUCCCUCCCCACAGUUUCCAGACUAGUAGGUUCCUCCCUGGACCUUCUAGAUCCUUCCUUGCUUCCCUGGGCCUUAGUAUUUUUCCAAUUCUAUCCUUUCUUCCUAUUGUAGACACACUGUAGUGCAAUUUUCUAUUUAUCCUUCAUAGAUCCCAGAUUUUAGCUGGACCACCCCUCCUUGGUCACAUCAGCUUUGAUCCUACCAGUCAUAUAGCCUUUGAAAAUCUGAAGUUCUUCCAGGAAUUUUUGCUAAUUCCCACAGAUUUACAUUCUCGUGAUUUUCUAUUCUCAACACCUUCCAUCAACAAAGACAUGAUACAACCCUUUCUUUACAUUCACCCAAAAAAGUCCACUUUCACAUAAAAGCAUUAGUUAGCAAUGUAGCCUUUACAAAAGGCAUUUAAAGAUGAUGGAGAAAACCAGGAGCAGACCACACCCCUGGUCAACAACUGGGAAAUCCCUGGCUGCUGAAGUAAGCACUGGAUUAUUUCCUUACCUGAAAGAGUCUAGGCCCAGGACAUGCAAUCCUCUCUCACCUAUGUGGGGAGGCUUACCCAGAAUUGGCAGCAAAAGCAUCAAGAAUGAGGGAUAGAUUCUCAGUUAACAUUGCUACAGGGACAUUGCUGCUUUUAGAUCUUGUCAGUGAAUAGAGACAGCAAAAAUCUAAAUCAUGAGUUCAUAUUAACAUGUCACAUUUAACCUAGGGUUUCAAUUUUUCUAUGUGUCUCGUUUCUCUCACAAUGAAAAAUUUAGAUACAAAUAACAUGUUAUUUGUCCUAACCUAAUAUACAAAGUACUUUCAAAAUUAUGAUACAAAUAUUCCUCCUAAUAAUAAAACUACUGAGUGAAGUUUGAAAUUAAUUGCAAUUCUCUUUCCUUAGAGUAUGCCAGAAUGUAUGCCAGAAUUUAUACCAAACAUGUUCCAAAGUCACUUGAAAUAAUUCUUUUCUCUGUGUGGUUAUGCAACCAAUUUGAUAAAGCGUUAAGUUUAUCAGUUUCCUUUUAUUUUCAGUUUGGGGGCCACCUUUAUUUUCCCUGUUGGUUUUAUUUUUCACAAAGUGUAAAACAUUUACAUAAUUCAAAAGUCAAAAGUAAAUAUACUAGAGAAGUCUCACUUCCAACACUUUCAUUUGAUUCCUAGACAAGAAUAUGGUGGGGAGGAUGACCUAGCUUUUAUUUCCUCAAGAUGUAGAAGGAAUGUGAGGAGCAGACAAGAGCAGAAACAUUGUCAAAAGAGACUGUGGUUCAAAUCCACUACUGUUUGAACUUGGGCAUUUCCUACACUUUUUGAGGCUUGAUUUCUUUGCAUGAAAAUGCGAAUAAUACCUGUCUCUGAUGUAGUCUCUGGAUUAAAUGAGAUAACAUAUAUGAAAUGCCUGGUCCAUAGUAAGUACUCAAAAUAUGAGAGCUAUUCAGUAUACUUUAUCUGAAGAGAUCGGUGGUACUUUGAAAUUUCAGACCAACUUGUCACCCAACUCUAGUGACUUGUUAAAAAUCCUUUAAAUUAAAAAAAUCCUUCUACAUACUGUAGAAGUAGUAAUAAUGUAUAAUAGUUUGAGACCGUGCUCAGAAGUUCUAAGCAAAAACCUAUAUCUGAAGAGAUAUAAAAGUGACUAUUUUAAGUAUUAGAAUAAAAAAAAAACCUACACAUUUGGAUGGCAGUAGUGAGGCAGACUGCCAAAAAAAGAAAGAAAUAGGGACUCAAAAGAGACUGCUAUAUUCCGUGGAUGUUUUGCUGCCCUUGUCUAGCUUGGAUUAAUACUUAGUCUAUAGGCACAGACCUGAUCAUCUACAUUUGCCCUCUUACAGCACUAAACUAUGUUUUCUACCUUUCUUGC